Long non-coding RNA from Monopterus albus (swamp eel), 266 nucleotides. RefSeq lists it as uncharacterized. The transcript has 3 exons. Lineage: Eukaryota; Metazoa; Chordata; Actinopteri; Synbranchiformes; Synbranchidae. The record is from RefSeq and is a predicted model, not a curated record.
GAUUAGACCAAGUGACUCCAGGUGUGCUCUGAUCCACCGUGGUCUCAGUUCAAAUGCUGCCUGUAUUGCUUGCCAUAUAUUUAUAAUCUGAGAUGAUGAUGAUGAUGUUGCAUGAAACGGCUGCAGAAGACCCUGAGUGCCCUGAACUCCUUGUUGGUCCGUUGCUGUUAAUGGAUGUACAUGGAGACAGCGCCCCCAUGUGGACAUGGUUCUGAAGCUUUCCAAUUCCUUCUCAGUACCUACCUCUUCCUCCUCCCUUGCGCAGC